GAUGAACGCUGGCGGCGUGCCUAACACAUGCAAGUCGAACGGAGAUUACGGGCUGUAGUUUUGGGCUGGAAGAGCGUAAUUCUUAGUAGCGGGUGAGUGAGCUACGCGUGGGCAUGCUGUAACAUCAAGAGGGUUAGGCUCAGGACAGGGAUGGGCAGAUGCCGUAUGUUGGGGGGAGGGAAUGGUCUUGGGGGGAGGUUAGCCAUCAGGUUUAGGAUGGUGCCGGGGCCGAAUAGGCUGAUGGAAGGGUAAAAGCCUAGCAAGGCAACGAUCGGUAGCCGGACUGAGAGGGCGGACGGCCACAUGGGGACUGAGACACGGCCCAAACUCCUACGGGAGGCAGCAGUGGGGGAUAUUGCACAAUGGAGGAAACUCUGAUGCAGCGACGCCGCGUGAGUGAAGAAGUAUUUCGGUAUGUAAAGCUCUAUCAGCAGGGAAGAUGAUGACGGUACCUGACUAAGAAGCCCCGGCUAACUACGUG
RNAcentral lists this ribosomal RNA (481 nucleotides) under uncultured bacterium. Its description in RNAcentral is "partial 16S ribosomal RNA". It matches the Rfam family "Bacterial small subunit ribosomal RNA", at positions 28 to 507 of the family's 1533-position model. The record is from RNAcentral.